RNAcentral lists this ribosomal RNA (544 nucleotides) under Microrhagus pygmaeus. RNAcentral's name for it is "bacterial SSU rRNA". It matches the Rfam family "Eukaryotic small subunit ribosomal RNA", at positions 22 to 524 of the family's 1831-position model. Lineage: Eukaryota; Metazoa; Arthropoda; Insecta; Coleoptera; Eucnemidae. The record is from RNAcentral.
AGUCAUAUGCUUGUCUCAAAGAUUAAGCCAUGCAUGUCUCAGUACAAGCCAAAUUAAGGUGAAACCGCGAAAGGCUCAUUAAAUCAGUUAUGGUUCCUUAGAUCGUACCCCACAUUUACUUGGAUAACUGUGGUAAUUCUAGAGCUAAUACAUGCAAACAGAGUUCCGACCGGAGACGGAAGGAACGGUUUUAUUAGAUCAAAACCAAUCGGCAUUGAACACUACUACUUAUUGUAGUUAGUUGCCUUUGUCGUACAUGUUGGUGAAUCUGAAUAACUUUUUCCUGAUCGCACGGUCUCGCACCGGCGACGCAUCUUUCAAAUGUCUGCCUUAUCAACUGUCGAUGGUAGGUUCUGUGCCUACCAUGGUUGUAACGGGUAACGGGGAAUCAGGGUUCGAUUCCGGAGAGGGAGCCUGAGAAACGGCUACCACAUCCAAGGAAGGCAGCAGGCGCGCAAAUUACCCACUCCCGGCACGGGGAGGUAGUGACGAAAAAUAACGAUACGGGACUCAUCCGAGGCCCCGUAAUCGGAAUGAGUACACU